Non-coding RNA from Helianthus annuus (common sunflower), 196 nucleotides. Lineage: Eukaryota; Viridiplantae; Streptophyta; Magnoliopsida; Asterales; Asteraceae. The record is from Rfam.
AUACCUUUCUCGGCCUUUUGGCUAAGAUCAAGUGUAGUAUCUGUUCUUAUCAGUUUAAUAUCUGAUAUGUGGGUCAUCGGCCCACUCGAUAUUAAUCUUAUUUUUUAUGGGGAAAGACCCGUCACAAUAGCUUGCUAUUGGGGUCUUUAAGCGUCGCCUUUGUGUUGCACUACUGCCUUGGCCUGGCGCACCCCUC